GAUGAACGCUGGCGGCGUGCCUAAUACAUGCAAGUCGAGCGAACAGACGAGGAGCUUGCUCCUUCGACGUUAGCGGCGGACGGGUGAGUAACACGUAGGUAACCUACCUAUAAGACUGGGAUAACUUCGGGAAACCGGAGCUAAUACCGGAUAAUAUUUCGAACCGCAUGGUUCGAUAGUGAAAGAUGGCUUUGCUAUCACUUAUAGAUGGACCUGCGCCGUAUUAGCUAGUUGGUAAGGUAACGGCUUACCAAGGCAACGAUACGUAGCCGACCUGAGAGGGUGAUCGGCCACACUGGAACUGAGACACGGUCCAGACUCCUACGGGAGGCAGCAGUAGGGAAUCUUCCGCAAUGGGCGAAAGCCUGACGGAGCAACGCCGCGUGAGUGAUGAAGGUCUUCGGAUCGUAAAACUCUGUUAUUAGGAGAGAACAAACGUGUAAGUAACUGUGCACGUCUUGACGGUACCUAAUCAGAAAGCCACGGCUAACUACGUG
Molecule: ribosomal RNA, 497 nt
Filed under: uncultured bacterium
Lineage: Bacteria
Description: partial 16S ribosomal RNA
Rfam family: Bacterial small subunit ribosomal RNA
Source: RNAcentral